Molecule: non-coding RNA, 2197 nt
Organism: Equus caballus (horse)
Lineage: Eukaryota; Metazoa; Chordata; Mammalia; Perissodactyla; Equidae
Source: RefSeq, a predicted model, not a curated record
UGAGCUCAUCUGUGGAUGUAUUAGCACAGGAUGCGGGAAUCCUGUGAAGCGAGUCAAUUCGGAGCCCGACGUGAACCAGGAGGGGUGGCGGCGGAAGCGCUCACAGCGUGGAGGCCCGUAGUAGGGACGCCAGUCCUCACGGGACUCUCGGGCCUGAACGGCAGAGGACGCUGCUUGGCUGCAAGAGGGAAGUAGGAUAUUGAGCCCUAAAGGAAGAUUUCCAGCCAGGGGGCACCGAGGUAAAGUAAACCCUGAAUAGGAAUAGAUGCAUCGAAGGCCACUGGGGAGAUUCAGAUAAUGUGACUUGGUGUUUGAUAAGGCAGUGAUGUCAUUCUGACUGCAGCCACCACUGUCGGGUUGUGAUCAAACUCUGAUGACCUAUGAGAGCACCGUGAUGUGUUUCUGGAAUGCUUUCCAUGUUCACGAUAUUUUUCCUGACUUCACGUUUAUUACGUGGAUAUGUUGUAAUGUGUUUAACCAUUCAUUUUUCUGGAAUUGGAAUACUGAAUAUUUCCUGACCAGUUCUAUGUCUUUUCUAACCUCUUCAACCUCACCUGACCCCAAGGCCAUGAGGUAAGGUGUGGCUGGAUGGCGUGGCUCCUUUUCAGUCCUGGAAGGUGUGAAUGGAGGGAGGAGGACCUGUUCAGGGCUGGGCUGAGCAGCCUAGUCUCAGGUGCAGAGCAGCUUCCCCAAAGUGGAGGUCUGGCCAGAAAACUGUCUGUUGAAGUGUUUGGGUUUCCUGGGCAUUAGGGGAAGAGUUUGGGUUUGUCUACAGUCCUUCUAAUUUUUUCAUAUUGUUAUGUUUGUACAGUUAGAGGUGUUAUGCAAAAUGGAAUGGAGGAGCCAAAUGUUACUUCCUCUCAUGGUAACCCUAAAUUAUGCUUGCUCUCAUGGUCUCUUUUUCCUUUCCCAGCUCUGGAUUCUCUUUGUUCUUUCCCAGUAGAGGAAUCCCAAGGAGGAGUGAUCUGUUUUGGCAGGUGCAAAACCAUGGAGUGAAAUCAUACAGUGUUUCUUUCUCCAUCUGACUUGUUUUGCUCAAGAUCCAUCCAUGUUGUCUCACAUGGGAUGAGUUUGUCUGUUUUUACGGGUCUUCCAGGUAUAGUGAGGCUGGUCUAUCUGAGACCCCACUGGCUUUCUGUUGGCUCCCAUAGGCGUGGGUGCUGCUGCCCCAUGCAUGACCGGUGAUGCUUGUCCUGGGUUGUCUGAAGGUGCUGGUUGCACUGCUGCCAGGGGUCCUGGGUUCACAGGUGUCACUAUCCCUGCCAGGGACCUGGAGAACUAUAUGUAUCUCCUGCUGCUGCUGAGCUGGUGUUGGGGGGUGCCACCAGUGGGGGCUAGGUCACCAGAUCUGCUGUGUUUCCUGAAGCCUCUGGUCACAGGUUCCACCUGCCAGUGCUGGGGCAAAGGGGCUAUUUCUUCUGCCCCCACCCCGUUUGCUCACAGUUGUGUGGGCCAGGCCACCUCCACUGUGCCAGCAGUCACACAGGCCAGGCUGCCACCAUCCAUGCUCCACUGGCAGUCAGGUGAGCUGGGCUGUCCUCACCACUUGUGCCAAGCCCCUGUGUGAGGAUCCACAACCUGGAUUGCUACCACUCAGGGAGGGGUGGUGGGGGCUUUCUCCCCUAGGUCCACUGCUUACUGGGGGGUUGAGUCCACCCACCUUCAGAUGUAUAGACGCAUGGAUCUCUUAGGCAUCCCUCUACUGCUGUAUAGGAAAUCCUAUGUUGGUCAGUGCAUGUCCAUUUGGCUGUAACUUAGAGGGGCGUGACAAGGGGGAAAAUUCCACCAUGAGGCUGAUGUCACUCAUGUUGUCUCACCUUUUUUGAACUUUCCAAGAAACCAGUUUAAAAAAAACUAUUGUGGUCUAACUAGUUUAUAACAUUUUGAAAUUUCAGUUGUACAUCAGUAUUUAUCAAACACCAUAUCAAUGUGCCACCGCACCCCUUGUACCCACUCUCCUGCUGCCACAGUAACCACUAAAUUGUUCUCUUCAUCCAUAAGUUUGUUUAUAUUCCACAUAUGAGUGAAAUCAUAUGUUCUUUUCUCUCUCUGUGUGGCUUAUUUCUCUCAACAUGAUGCCCUCAAGUUCCACCAAUGUGGUUGUGAACGGGACGAUUAUGUGGAGUAGUAUUCCAUUGUAUAUAUAUAUACCACAUCAUCUUUAUCCAAUCAUCAGUCGUUGGGCACUUGGGUUGCU